This is a non-coding RNA of Triticum urartu, 1226 nucleotides long. Lineage: Eukaryota; Viridiplantae; Streptophyta; Magnoliopsida; Poales; Poaceae. The record is from RefSeq and is a predicted model, not a curated record.
UUUAGUACAAGAUCAUUGAAAUUUUGAAAAUUCAGUUUCGAAGCUUCAGUUUUGCAUCUCAAGUCUGAUUGCCACUAAAUUGAGUACAAGAUCACUGAAAUUUUGUUUGAAGCUUCAGUGUAAAUGUUCUAUUUUUAGAGUACAAGAUCACUAAAUACAGUUUCUCGGGGUCCUAUUUUUCAGUGUAAAAUUUUGUUUAGAAGGGCCCCUUAUUUUUUCAGAUUCUUCUAUGAUCAUGCAGAGACUAAUGAAGAUAAUGGAUAGUGCAAAGGAGUCUAUUUGGAUAAUGGAAGGGGAAUCAGAUUGCCUCGGGGGACAAAUUUGACUAAGGCAGCAGCACUGAACUUUAACUCUUGCGGCACAGGCGGGCAGCAGCAGCGGCGAGGGGUGGGGCGGCAAAAGGCAGCGGUGGCGGGGCUCGAUCAGGCACCCGGUCGUCUCGCCGGUGGGCAGGCCCGCGUGGCCCUGCCUGCCGGAGUCGCCAGAGAGAGGAGCGGUGGCCGCGGGUGCGAGGAAGCAGCCUGGGACGUGAGCAGCAGCAUGCACUCCUGGUCCAGGCGAUCGACACCCAGGAGCACGCAGAGCUCGAGGAGGACGACCUCAACCGGAUCACAGUGGGAGGCUCCGGCGACGCUCGGGGGGGAUCUUGGCAGGAGGGGAACGCGCAGAGGGGAUCGUGGCUGGAGGGGAACGCGUGGAGGUGGUGGUGGAGUGAGGGGAAUGCGUCGGCGUGGUUCCUCAGCAGCAGCGGAGCAGUUCCUGGCCGGCGCACGUCCUGGCCAGCGCAGGUGAAGAAUCCUACGACGGCACCUUUGGCGACGCGCGGAAUCGUGCAGGUGCAGAUGGGUGGCGGCGGUGGAAUCAGAGGCGCAGGUGGCGGGCGGGCGGCGGAAUCAGAGGCGCAAGUGGGCUCGUGCUAGUGGACGGCAGUGAAAUCAGCUGGUGGCGCCUGGCCAGGCGAUGCACGGGGACGACCGAGGAAGAAGAUGGAGACAUGAAUCUAUUUGAGAUAGUUUUAAAACUCGGAGGGCUUUUUUGCAAAAACACCAGUACACUUCGCGUUGGACAACUUUUUCUGGACGGAGGGAGUAAUAAACAGAGUGAAAUCCGUUCAUUUCAAAUAACAGAGUGAGAUAAUAAAAUUUCAAUUUCUUUAAAAGAUGAUUUCAGUUAUUAAAAUUUCAUUUUUUUUCAAAGAAGAUUGAAAUUCAACAUUCUAAAAGUGG